This 431-nucleotide long non-coding RNA is filed under the name Nicotiana benthamiana. Its description in RNAcentral is "long non-coding RNA (NBEN_LNC023078)". Lineage: Eukaryota; Viridiplantae; Streptophyta; Magnoliopsida; Solanales; Solanaceae. The record is from RNAcentral.
AAAAAUAAACCCUGAAUGUGGAAUGAAACAACAGCAGCGGAAACUCAAUUAGCUAGAGUGCAAGUUUACAGCUCCAAACCAGAUAACCCAGCAAGCUCCAAAACCAAAUAGCUCCAGCAAAUUCGAUAAUUUCAACAGCUCAAGUCAUUUAGGGAAAUCCCAGAAAAUGCAUAUCAACUAACGAAAAUCAGAAACAGCUUUCAAUUUCUUUGUUUCCCGAUCGGGAAUUUUAUUUUUAUUCUUAGCUCUAAUCUAUGCUUCUACUGUGUGAGUGAGAUAAGAUGAGUAUAGGGGGGUUGAGUAACAUCGGAGCCAAUUCUUUGGAGUGGUGUAUUUCUUCGUAAAUGAUGAUUUCGAAUUGGAUGGUUUAGUGAUUCCUCUGCCUCUCUUCUUUUGCUUGUACAAACCUUUCAUGUCUGAUUUUGUCUCCA